CUUGGGUGUAAAAAUAUGCUGAGUUAAAUUCUGCAUUUCCUAGCCUCCCACGUGGUUGAGUAGACAUGGGACCCACUUCUGAGAAAUACAAUUGAAGUCCAACAAGACCUCGGAGCAAGCAUGUGAAUAAAGAGGAUGAACGUGGUAUGGGUGUCCGCUCACUGUUCUUUGCGGCGCAUGCCCUUACAGAGUUCACAGGACCCUGUGAUACGUGGGAGUUCAGCGACACUCAAAGCGUGUACAAGGUUUCCUGGGAGUGAAAGAUAGGUGCCUUCCUUGUUUUCCUUUUUCCACGUGGUAGAAUCCCCCAAAGCAACCCCCCCUCCUUCUGAAGUCACCAAAACAUCUCAUUAGUAAAGGCGAGAUUCAGCUCACCAUAAUCUCUCCCCAGCUGAGGCAAAGCUGCA
This 407-nucleotide long non-coding RNA is filed under the name Equus caballus (horse). Its description in RNAcentral is "lncRNA (ENSECAG00000049848.1)". Lineage: Eukaryota; Metazoa; Chordata; Mammalia; Perissodactyla; Equidae. The record is from RNAcentral.